Molecule: small RNA, 1823 nt
Filed under: Oryza sativa Japonica Group (Japanese rice)
Lineage: Eukaryota; Viridiplantae; Streptophyta; Magnoliopsida; Poales; Poaceae
Description: sRNA Os12g0597650
Source: RNAcentral
AUAUUAGUUCUCACAUGGAAUGCUUUCAGAAGUCCCAAAUUAAGGCUUGCACGUAUGGGUCGAUUUAGGGAUCAGUACUAAUAAUUAGCGUAGUUGACCAUCCAAUAAAUCAUCGGUUGGUGAGGCAUUUUUGUCCAUUGAGCUGCUCCAAUUAUAAGGUUUCAAUUCGUUUGCCCCCACACUGCUUGCCAUACCAUGCAUGCACGGGCUCGCAUUCAUAAUUGUAUAUCCGGAAGACUCCAUGUUGUAAGCAUCAAGUAACGUGUUCAAUCGUCAACCCCAUGUUGUUAGAAGCAUUCGAAAGGAAGAACAAACAAGCAUAUGGGUCAGGAAUAUUUGCACAAGCUUAUUAGAUAUAAACACACUUGCUGACAUGGUUCCUGUUGAAAUUUCUGAGAAAAAACCUGAUGUAGACCUCACUAUAUUCGAAUAACAAAGUCGUGAAAAAUAGUACAAAAAUUAUCCAUUUUAUUGUUGUCCAAUAUUUAUUUAUUUAUGAAUAUUUGAUGUUUGAGAUUCCAUUUAUUGUGUAGACUGCAGAGCUUUUAAAGAACCUCAGGAUAGCAGUUGAUGUCAAAGUCAUUAACAUAACAUGGAAUGCUUUACACAAAAGCAGAAGUACGACUGAGAAAUCAUACCCAACAGCUAACACCUGGAAAAAAAAACCCUGAUGGUCCAAGUGUGUCAGUAUGUUAGCAAGUAGAAACAGCUUUAAUGCUGAAUGAUUCUUCUGCCAAAAGAAAAUUUUGAUCUUUCAAUAAAGCAAAAGCAACAUACAGAGGCAAGUCAUUGCAAGUAAACUUGUGCACGCUAAAAGCCAAAUCCUGCUUAUCCUUUUCCAGGCUUACACGAUGUUUCAGUUGUUCACUUCCUUUUGUCAAUCUUCCUUUGAAAUCUUCAAACCUAAUCCCUCCCUUCUUUGAGCAAAUCUUGCCGGUCACUAUCCAAUCACAUGUUCUUCCUCCAUUCUCUCUUAAUCUGAUAGUGCCAUAGCUCAUAAAAGAGAGAACAAGUUGUGUAUGUCCCCACUUUGGACAGUAGAACAUUGAGACCAUAGCAGAAAUGCGACAUGGCUUGUAGCUCAGUUAAGGACCCAAGCGAAUCACUAUAGCUCUCAUCAGAUGGCUUCCCUGUUUGUUACUCCUACUUUCACAGUUUGCUGACCUACUUUCACAUGACCGGUCCGACCGUCCCCGAGCAAAAGCUUGGAGCCUCUGCAUUUUCUGAAUGGCUCGCGUGAAAUACUACAGGUUUCCUAGGUCUGGGCUGACUGUGUUGGCAGCCGAGUAUGGUUAUGCUCACCUUCAUACGUCACGAUGAGCAUCGCCGGGUCGUCUACGCACCGCUCGACGUGCUUCCUCGCUGGGCAGCCCCGGACGCUGCUACAUUUGUAGUAACCCCUGCAACGGAUUCGAGCGAUUUAGCGAAGUCGGUCUUCUGUGCAGAUAAAUAAAAUGCGUUGAAGGAGAAAUAAUCAGCAACAUGUGCUUGCUAUCAUGGCAUAGCUACAUUUUCCUAUCAUUAAGUGCAGGCUUUAAAGUUUAGAUGGGGGUGGGGGAUGAGGGCAAUCAAGAUUAGGAUGUAGAUAGACAAGCAUGCUGAUCAAAUCCAUGUUGCAUUAACAAUAUACCUACUUUAGGACACAUGAUUGAUAUUGGUUUUCCACAGAGGAGAGAGUAAAGAAAUAGCAAAAGACUGUCAUGAUCCACUAAUCCACUAAGCUGGUUAUAAUUAAUUGUGCUCGCAACUAAGGUAUCAACACGUCUUGGCUAUAGAUCCACUUGGAAAUUAGGAAAAGGUGGAGUGGAGUGGAGUGGAGUGGA